CCUGCAAACUGUGGUAAUCCCGCCCCUAGUGGCGGGCAUCACCACAACCCUACCCCAUCGCCUCCUUCAGGAGGCCAUGGAGGUGGUGGUUACUAUCCCUCCCCUCCAUCUCAUAGUGGAAGCCCUCCAAGUACUCCUACACCUACACCUAGUACCCCCAGUACACCAUCCACCCCCUCCACACCUACUAUUGUCACCCCGCCUACACCUCCUACCAUUGACCCUGGCACUCCAAGCACUCCAGGGGGUGGUUACUAUGGUGGAAGUCCUCCAAGUAUUCCUACACCUAGUACCCCUAGUAUUACACCCACUACCCCUUCUACACCUAUCAUUGAAACACCACCAACUACUCCUGUCGUUGAAACACCACCAACUACUCCUACUAUUGAUCCAGGCACUCCAAGUGCUCCAGGAGUCUUUCCAAUUGACCCCAACUCACCACCUUUUACAUGCGAGUAAGUCAAGUGAAAAUUAUUUGCUGUUUCAUUUUAUAUUACAGUAUUUGACUAGACAUACAGUUUAAUAAAGAAAAAGAAUUUUUUAACGCAUACCUAAUGUACCUAAUGAGAACUUGUCCUAACAUGAAAUGUUAUGAAUUGCAGCUACUGGAGGACUCACCCAACACUAAUAUGGGGCAUACUCGGCUGGUGGGGAAGUGUAGGCAAUGCAUUUGGUGUGUCUAGUGUUCCAGCUUUGGGUGCAAACAUGAACUUACUGCAAGCACUUUCAAACACUCGCCCGGAUGGCUUAGGGGAGCUCUACAGAGAAGGAACAGCUUCUUUAUUGAACUCCAUGGUUAGCAGGAGGUUCACCUACACUACAGACCAAGUGAGGAAUAGUUUU
This 843-nucleotide long non-coding RNA is filed under the name Nicotiana tabacum (common tobacco). RNAcentral describes it as "long non-coding RNA (NTAB_LNC000693)". The record is from RNAcentral. Lineage: Eukaryota; Viridiplantae; Streptophyta; Magnoliopsida; Solanales; Solanaceae.